GUAUUUGUUUGAUUUAAAAUAUUAAGUCAAGCAACAUUAUAGACGUGUUGGACAAUAAAAUUGGCAGGCCGAGAGGAAAAUAAUCCAUCUCGCUUCUGUCGGCAAUCGACACACCUGCCAACUAACAUUUCACUAAUUCACACAAGGUGGGUAUGGAUAAAUUAUCCAUAUUGGAUAAUUGUUAAUGAUCCUUCCGCAGGUUCACCUACGGAAA
This 214-nucleotide unclassified non-coding RNA is filed under the name uncultured fungus. RNAcentral describes it as "sequence contains ITS1". The record is from RNAcentral. Lineage: Eukaryota; Fungi.